AAAGCACACGGACUCCAUGGUGUCCACGUGUGACCUCUGUAUGUGACUAACAGUGCCCUCGGUCUGUUUUCUGAUCUAAAACAGCACCACAGAUGGGACAGAUUGCAUAGCUCAUUUUGGCUCUGGUCCAAGUCUGGUCCAAGGUCAAGGGCUGCAUUUCGUGAUGGCCCUGGGGGCAGAGUUCCUGGCAGAAUGGGUAUGACAUGACAAGUGACCUACCCAAGCUGGCUUUUAGAGCAGACGUGCAGAGCAGUCCACCCUGGAGGGCAGAGCCCCAGUCACGGGGUCCCCCUCUAGGCCUGCAGGGCCCUGCCUCAGUGUCCCAUCUCAGUCCUCCCCCUGUGCACACGGCCCGCCUCCUGGAGCACUGGGGAGAGAACGUCCCCUGUGAGCUGGAGGAGCCCUUGACAACCCGCGUCAACACCCCUUCAGUUCCAGGAACGGGUGUCGACCCGCCUUCCAUUGCUGAGGCAAACACCCAAGGUAACCAACAAGAGGAAGGAUCUUUGGCUCACAGUUUCAGAGGCGCCCGUCCACGGUCUGGCCUGCUACUUCUGGGCAGUGGUGAGGCCGCCAUUAGGGCGGCAGUGCCCAGUGGAAGGAAGCAGUUCACCACAGUGACCAGGUGCAGAGAGGGAAAGGGGCCCGGUGACUUUCCCACCAGGCCCACCUCCUAAACGCCCCCCAGAUAGUGCCACAGGCUGGGGACCAAGCCUUCAGCGCGUCCUCUGGGACACACACAGAAAGCACAGUUUGAUCCCCAGGGAACUGCCCAGAGCUCCUAGCAGGAUCCACAGUGGCCUGGGGCCCUUUGUUUGCCCACCUGCGGUACAGCACUCACUCACCAUGCAUGACGCACUGGGUUUGAGCCUCAGCACCACAUAAAGUAGAAUAAAGACACUGUGUUCACCUAUAACUGAAAGGUAAAUAUUACAAAAAAGAUCUUUAAAAAUUUGGGUGUACAGAGUAUGACUCUAUUUUAUAGGAAACUCUAGAACAUUCAAGCUAAUCUGUAUUGAUUUCUGGGGGAGGGAGGGAUUGCGAAGUCCGUAAGGAAACUUUCGGGAGUGGACAUAUCUGCUCAUUGGCUGGACGGUCGUGUUGGAUCCACAGGUGUGCACGUACUGCAGAACCUAUCAAAUCACAAGCCUUAAGUAAGCACAGGUUAUUGCAAGUGUGUUAUGCCUCAAUACACUGUUUUUUUUGUUUUUUUUUUUUUAAGAGAGAGUGAGAG
Molecule: long non-coding RNA, 1234 nt
Filed under: Marmota monax (woodchuck)
Lineage: Eukaryota; Metazoa; Chordata; Mammalia; Rodentia; Sciuridae
Source: RNAcentral